Long non-coding RNA from Vitis riparia (riverbank grape), 1038 nucleotides. RefSeq lists it as uncharacterized. NCBI's taxonomy places the organism in Eukaryota, Viridiplantae, Streptophyta, Magnoliopsida, Vitales, Vitaceae. The record is from RefSeq and is a predicted model, not a curated record. The transcript is spliced from 5 exons.
UAAUGUAUGUCAAGAUCAUGAACAGAACCUUAUGCCCAUUACAGACGAUGCUAAGAGAAACCAUAAAAGAUUCAGAGGAUCACAACACUAAUCUCAAGCUUUAGAUUCACUCACACUUGCUUCAGUAAUGCUCUGUUUAUUGGACACGGGGGACUUGGAGUGAGUACUAAUCUAGCCACAGUGGACCUCAACCUGAAGGCCAAAUUCUUAGGGCGACGGUAGGAUUAAUAAAGCCAUUGUUCCGAUGAAUUCACUCUUUACUGUUGAUCUGAAGUUUAAUGCAGAAAAUGACACAAGUCAUUGCAGCUUAGCUGAUGAGUCAAAGCCCCAAUACUUAUUGAUUGAGGCAAAGAAGAACGGGGAAAGGAAGAAGGGGGUAUGGUUUUGUGGUGGGUGUCUUCUAGCUGCUUCAUCUUCAUCUUAUUCUCCUUUCCAUAAUAUUUUCUGCAGCCAUUUUCAAAAACCCAUAAUCACCAGCACCACCUUAGCCUCCAUAACCUCCACCACCAUCCACAACUACAACUUCUCACCAUUCUGGCACUGCCAACCCCAUGGAGCUUAAAGCAACCCUGGUCACCAUGACCAUCCACAAGCACUGCCCUCUAUGAGCAUCACCAAGUGAAGCAUGCCAUGAGCUCUACAACCUCCACCGUCCAUGUCAAGCUCUCACGGUUUCACACCACCAGUAAUUAUCUGAAGAUUCCCCUCCUUCAUUGGCAUUGCAGCGCUCGAGCUUCUUGCCAAGUGGCAAGCAUGGUGUUGGAGUCAUAUUCUAACUCGACGCUAGCUAAAACAUGAAGCAUGGUGUCCUCAUCUAAUAUGGAAGUUCAAAAGUUCCAAGAUUGUCGGCAAACAUCUUCAUUUUUGGUAAGAUAAUCAUCCAUGGACGUUGACCCUUUUCUUGUUUGGAGUUAAAUUUUUUAUUGGAAAACUGUAGAACAAGCUUCGGAUGCAUACACCAUUUCCAACGCCUUCUAUGUCUCAUGAGUUGUUGAGAGGCUCACUCUCUUGGGUAAAAUGCUAUGUAAAAUUGAAGAC